AGAGUUUGAUCAUGGCUCAGGACGAACGCUGGCGGCGUGCCUAACACAUGCAAGUCGAGCGGUAAGGCCCUUCGGGGUACACGAGCGGCGAACGGGUGAGUAACACGUGAGCAACCUACCCUCAACACUGGGAUAAGCCCGGGAAACCGGGUCUAAUACCGGAUAACUCCUCAGUCGACAUCCUCUGAGGAUAAAAGUUCCGGCGGUUGAGGAUGGGCUCGCGGCCUAUCAGCUUGUUGGUGGGGUAACGGCCCACCAAGGCUUCGACGGGUAGCCGGCCUGAGAGGGCGACCGGCCACACUGGGACUGAGACACGGCCCAGACUCCUACGGGAGGCAGCAGUGGGGAAUAUUGCGCAAUGGGCGAAAGCCUGACGCAGCAACGCCGCGUGAGGGAUGACGGCCUUCGGGUUGUAAACCUCUUUCAGCAGGGACGAAGCGAAAGUGACGGUACCUGCAGAAGAAGGACCGGCCAACUACGUGCCAGCAGCCGCGGUAAUAC
Molecule: ribosomal RNA, 501 nt
Filed under: uncultured bacterium
Lineage: Bacteria
Description: bacterial SSU rRNA
Rfam family: Bacterial small subunit ribosomal RNA
Source: RNAcentral